Molecule: ribosomal RNA, 529 nt
Filed under: uncultured Gaiella sp.
Lineage: Bacteria; Bacillati; Actinomycetota; Thermoleophilia; Gaiellales; Gaiellaceae
Description: bacterial SSU rRNA
Rfam family: Bacterial small subunit ribosomal RNA
Source: RNAcentral
AGAGUUUGAUUAUGGCUCAGGACGAACGCUGGCGGCGCGCUUAACACAUGCAAGUCGAGCGAGAACCAGACCUUCGGGUCUGGGGACAGCGGCGAACGGGUGAGUAACACGUGGGUAAUCAACCCUCGGUACUGGGAUAGCCCGGGGAAACCCGGAUUAAUACCGGAUGGCCCUUUGGAUCUUCGGAUCUGACGGAAAAGGUAGCUUCGGCCUCCGACCGAGGACGAGCCCGCGGCGGAUUAGCUUGUUGGUGGGGUAACGGCUCACCAAGGCGACGAUCCGUAGCUGGUCUGAGAGGACGAUCAGCCACACUGGGACUGAGACACGGCCCAGACUCCUACGGGAGGCAGCAGUAGGGAAUCUUGCGCAAUGCGCGAAAGCGUGACGCAGCAACACCGCGUGAGGGAAGACGGCCUUAGGGUUGUAAACCUCUUUCAGAUGGGACGAAGGUGAUGCGGUGAAUAGCCGAUGUCAUUGACGGUACCGUCAGAAGAAGCUCCGGCUAACUACGUGCCAGCCGCCGCGGUAA